This 584-nucleotide long non-coding RNA is filed under the name Chinchilla lanigera (long-tailed chinchilla). Its description in RNAcentral is "lncRNA (ENSCLAG00000029081.1)". Lineage: Eukaryota; Metazoa; Chordata; Mammalia; Rodentia; Chinchillidae. The record is from RNAcentral.
CAUUUUAGUCAUGGCCCUGACCAAGGAAUGACCUGUAGGGAAGAGCACAAAGGAGGAAGCCAGUGAAGAGUCUGCAUUUGAGCAAAAGCUCAAAGGGUAUGGACUCAGAAAAGGCAGCUCCAGCUUUGAGGACCCUGGACACCAUCACCCACUGGCCCCUGCUCCCAGGGCAGGUUGCAAGCGGAUGCCCCGUUGGCUGUGAUCACUCGGCUUCUCUGUAGCUCGCCCACCAUGCGCUCGGUGCUGCUCAGUGGCCACAGCCCGCCAGUCUCCUGUGGGAUGUCCCUGGCCCUGCCGUCACCCCUCCUGGUCCCUGCACAGCCACCUCUCAUCCUACAGCGCUGCAGUGUGGAUGCACCGCUGUGGUCAUAGCUGUCAUCGUCGUCCCCUACUGUGGGCAGCUGCUUCUGGACCGCACAGCUCAUCGUCUGUCCCUCCUGCUCAGUGGCAUUGCUGCUAAGUGGGGAUGCCUGCAUGGGGAUCCAGGUGGCCCUAUCUCAGAGCCCAUCUACUCAAUUCUUCCUGCUGUCUGCUCCCAACAAACCCUAUGUCCGUCCUUGAUCUCUGCCUCUAGCCCAGGGUAA